GUCGAACGGAAAGGCUCCAGCUUGCUGGAGUACUCGAGUGGCGAACGGGUGAGUAACACGUGGGUAAUCUGCCCUGCACUCUGGGAUAAGCCUGGGAAACUGGGUCUAAUACUGGAUAUGACCUUUCUCCUUAUGGGGUUUGGUGGAAAGUUUUUCGGUGUAGGAUGAGCCCGCGGCCUAUCAGCUUGUUGGUGGGGUGAUGGCCUACCAAGGCGACGACGGGUAGCCGGCCUGAGAGGGUGAUCGGCCACAUUGGGACUGAGAUACGGCCCAGACUCCUACGGGAGGCAGCAGUGGGGAAUAUUGCACAAUGGGCGGAAGCCUGAUGCAGCGACGCCGCGUGAGGGAUGACGGCCUUCGGGUUGUAAACCUCUUUCAGCAGGGACGAAGCGUAAGUGACGGUACCUGCAGAAGAAGCACCGGCUAACUACGUGCCAGCAGCCGCGGUAAUACGUAGGGUGCGAGCGUUGUCCGGAAUUACUGGGCGUAAAGAGCUCGUAGGCGGUUUGUCACGUCGUCUGUGAAAUCCUAGGGCUUAACCCUGGACGUGCAGGCGAUACGGGCUGACUUGAGUACUACAGGGGAGACUGGAAUUUCUGGUGUAGCGGUGGAAUGCACAGAUAUCAGGAAGAACACCGAUGGCGAAGGCAGGUCUCUGGGUAGUAACUGACGCUGAGGAGCGAAAGCAUGGGUAGCGAACAGGAUUAGAUACCCUGGUAGUCCAUGCCGUA
RNAcentral lists this ribosomal RNA (731 nucleotides) under uncultured Actinomycetes bacterium. RNAcentral's name for it is "bacterial SSU rRNA". It matches the Rfam family "Bacterial small subunit ribosomal RNA", at positions 61 to 804 of the family's 1533-position model. The record is from RNAcentral. Lineage: Bacteria; Bacillati; Actinomycetota; Actinomycetes.